UACGAACUGUGCAAACGUUAUUCGGAAUCACUGGGCUUAAAGGGUGCGUAGGCGGCUAUCUAAGCAGGGUGUGAAAGCCCCCGGCUCAACCGGGGAGUUGCGUUCUGAACUGGAUGGCUGGAGUGAGAUAGGGGCGUGUGGAACUUCCAGUGGAGCGGUGAAAUGUGUUGAUAUUGGAAGGAACGCCGGUGGCGAAAGCGACACACUGGGUCUCAACUGACGCUGAGGCACGAAAGCCAGGGGAGCGAACGGG
RNAcentral lists this ribosomal RNA (253 nucleotides) under uncultured bacterium. RNAcentral's name for it is "partial 16S ribosomal RNA". It matches the Rfam family "Bacterial small subunit ribosomal RNA", at positions 524 to 776 of the family's 1533-position model. The record is from RNAcentral.